UGUGGGAUUGCCGUCGCUCAACGGAUAAAAGCUACCCCGGGGAUAACAGGCUUAUUUUCUCCAAGAGUCCAUAUCGACGAGAAAGUUUGGCACCUCGAUGUCGGCUCAUCCCAUCCUGGGGCUGAAGUAGGUCCCAAGGGUUUGGCUGUUCGCCAAUUAAAGGGGUACGCGAGCUGGGUUCAGUACGUCGUGAGACAGUACGGUCUCUGUCUACCGUGGGCGUAGGAAACUUGAGGGGACUCGUUCUUAGUACGAGAGGACCGGAAUGAACAUACCUCUGGUGUUUCUGUUGUUCCGCCAGGAGCAUUGCAGAGUAGCCAAGUAUGGAUGAGAUAAACACUGAAAGCAUAUAAGUGUGAAACUCACCUCAAGAUAAGGUUUCCCAGAAGGGCACUUGUAGACUACGAGUUUGAUAGGUUGGAAGUGGAAGUACAGUAAUGUAUGGAGCUAACCAAUACUAAUUGCCCGUUCGGCUUGGUCAC
Molecule: ribosomal RNA, 482 nt
Filed under: Endomicrobium sp.
Lineage: Bacteria; Pseudomonadati; Elusimicrobiota; Endomicrobiia; Endomicrobiales; Endomicrobiaceae
Description: partial 23S ribosomal RNA
Rfam family: Bacterial large subunit ribosomal RNA
Source: RNAcentral